This 3464-nucleotide long non-coding RNA is filed under the name Oryctolagus cuniculus (rabbit). RNAcentral's name for it is "lncRNA (ENSOCUG00000034235.1)". The record is from RNAcentral. Lineage: Eukaryota; Metazoa; Chordata; Mammalia; Lagomorpha; Leporidae.
AUGACCAUGGGUAAAGGCCCCAGGAGCUGGGCUCGCCCCAGACAGACGGGGCGCCGGCAUCUCCUCCACCUGGGAAGCCAAAGGGCCCAGGUGGGGGGAAGGCGGGGCGGGCGGGGCGGCGCCGGCUCGCGCGGGAUCCCGCCCCUGUGCGGCGGGCGCUGGGGUCACGUCGGUGGAAGUGCGGGGCCUGCGAGUCGCCCAGAACCGGGGCGCACGGGCUGGGAGAUGGCGCGCCGCGGACAGGCGGUUCCGUCCCGCCGGGCCCUGGGUCCCCCGCCGCUGCCCGCGGGGUCGUUGCUCCCAAGGCCAGAGGGCCAAGUUCACCUCCGGGGCCGACGUCCUGGGCUCCCCAGCCUCGCGCCCCUCCCACCCCGAAAAGGAGCUGCCCAAGAGCAGGCAGGUCCUCGGGGGACGCUCCCCGCGUCGCCCGGCCCACGGACCUCUCCCAGGACCCGGGGAGAAGCGGCCCACGUCCCGGGCGCAGUGAGAGCUCAGAGGUCCCGCGCACAGCCCCGGAUUCAGGGGAACGGGAAGGACUUCCAGUGCCAGGAACCGGCACCCCGCCGCGGCCACCGCCCUCCGCCCCUGCGCCCCGCCCCCACUCACCGCGCCCCCAAGUCCUGGCGAAGCUGGGGUGACCCGGCCCUCCGCGCGUCCUGGAACACGGAGCUCAGCUGCGGACAGGGCCGGCGCACAGCGCUCCGGAGCCGGGCGCUCAGGGCGGGGGACCCUGAGCGGGGCGGGGCGGGGCUCAGCGGAGGGUGCGGGGCGCAGCCCAGGCACCGGCCUUAAAGGUCCGGGGACGCAAACUCGGACACGGGUCCAGAGCGCGGAGCUGCAGGGAGGAGCUGGGGCAGCCGGAGCGGCGCGCGCCUCCGGUUUCUCGCGGUGCGCAUGCUGUCCCGGGCGCGCGGCGGUCUGUCUGGGGGCUGCCCUGAAGACCCCCCGCCCCGGGAAGAGGGUUCCCACUCACCACGCCGCCCCCAGCCAUUGCGGAUCCACCCCGUUGGAGCCGGCGCCCACCCGGGCCCAUUCCAGGUCAAGCUGCCUUCGGGCCCACGGCGCUAAGGUCUGAAGCGGCAGAGACGCCCUGAGCCCCCUGCGCGUUUCUAACCCGGGUUUGUCCCAGGACAGAAGCUGCUUCAUCGGAAGCAAGCCUUCCUUGCAGACGCGCGCGCAUGCACGCACACUCACAGGCUGCCGGUCCCCGCCGCGCGGCCGCAUCGCCUCGGUGUGCACCAACGACAGGGGAGAGCGCGAGCCACGGCAAGAAGGCGAGUGCCGGCCGGGGUUGCUCGCACGUUCGGGCGCACUGGAGGGAACCAGAAGAAGCCAGGUAGGAGCUGCCCCUUUCCAGGGAUGAGACGCCCGGAGCGGGCAGAGAUGAGCGUGUGCGGAGCCCAUGGUGUCCAUAGGCUGCGAGGAUUCUAGGAGAGUCCUAGAGAAGCCGUGAGCCAGCCUCAGGUGAGAAGGCUCAGUGGCGGGGGCGGCUGCAGUCCUGCCCGCCCUUCCGCACCCCUGCAGCGCCCUGCCUCCCUCCACGGCCACCGUCACCCCAGGUGCCCGCCACACAGGGCAGAGCACCCGCAAGCAAGCAAAGCCUCUCUGCUCUUGUGGAAGUGGGUGCCAACCCUGGCUGGCAGAUCCCUUACCCGAAAUGCUUGCAACCAGCAGUGCUUUGGAUUUCAGAUUUUGGAAUGUCCGCAAACAUAAAGAGAUACCUUGGGGGGUGGGAUCGAUUCUAAACGCAAAAUCCCGGCACUUCCCAUCCGUACCUUAUGCACAGAGCCCGAAGGUAAUUUUGCGAAGUAUUUUUAGUGCACCUGCUUUCAAGUGUGACAUGUCCCAUGAGGUCAGGUGUGGAAUCUUCCACUCGUGACAUCAUGUUGGUGCUCAAGACAUUUUGCAUUUUGGAGCAUUUCAGCGUUUUGGACCGGGGAGCUCAGUCUGUGAUAGCCGCACGCUCCAAGGGCUCUCAGUGUGCCACAUACCACCCUAACCCUCCCUCAGAGAAGCUCAUCCCGUCUUCAAACAAUCCUUUGGGAUCAGUACUCGCACUGCCCCAUUUACAGGUGAGGAACCUGAGGACGGAAAGGUGAAACUUGGCUAGCAUCCCAGGGAGGACGGGCAGCCCCAGCACCAGACCCAAGCCGUCACACCACCAAGCCCCCGCUGCUGUCUUGCCUCAGCUUAGCGAACUGUUUAGCUUCUCCGAGCUGCGUCCUUGUGUAUCAGACAGCGUCAGGUGCGUGGGAGGGAUGCCACAAUACUGUGGACUGAGUGAGUGGACAGCACCACACAGCAUCCGGUGCCGGAGUUGCUCACCGUAGUGGAGCAGCUACCGGGUGCCAGGCUUUAAGGAAGCGCUGGUUCCCUGCCCCUGCAGGUGCACACCUGGGACCACUUCCCUCGGAGCGCCCCUCCUUGCUCUUCUUCAGAACCUCUAACACUUGCCUUGACCCAAGCAGUUAGCAGUCAAAUCAACACUUUGGAGAUGGACAUAAGCCAAUUCUUGCCCGCACCCUCCAGAAGGUCACACCAGGUCCAGGCCUUAUUUGUUCUUCCACCUUUAAGGGUGUCUGUGUAAACAAGGACUGGUUCGCAAAGGUCUGUCCAUUUGUGCGGGUCUGUCGUGCCCUAGCUUGGCCAGGUGUGAGGACUCUGGGGCCACCCAGCGUCUGAGGUCCACCCGCCUCCACUCACACCCCUCACCUGAGAGCUGGAGCUGUGUUUGGAGAAAGGGAGCUGCAGCGUGGAGAGCUCCCACAUCCUCCAGGAAGCCUUUGGGCACUGAGUUUAACCACAGAGGCCCAGAGCUGGUUGGCGCCUGCUUGGCCUCCUGCCCCCGACGAGAAAAAUGAACGCAAUGAAGUGUUUGAGAAACCUCCAGGUCCGAAUCCAUGGGAAGGCCCAGCCAGGAACCCAGGACUGGGGUCUCCAUCGUGUCCAAAAGCGAGAAUUUAAAAGGAGGAUGAAAAAGUCCCUGAGCUGCACAGUGGUGCUGCUGCACGGCGCUGUGAUGUUCUACCAUCUGCCGAAGGCCACACGCUGUACGAGAGUGAGACUGGGGGUAGGUGGAUCUCAGGUUCAAAGAGGUGCAGGGAAGGGUGGGGGCCGUGCUGUGGUGUAAGCAGGUUAAGCUGCUGCCUGCAAUGCUGGCAUCCCGUGAGCAUCGGGCCCUGUCCCUGCCGCCCCACUUCUGACCCAGCUCCCUGCUAAUGAGCCUGGGAAAAGCAGCAGACGAUGGCCCAAGUGCUGGGGCCCCUGCUACCCAUGUGGGGGACUCAAAUGAAGCUCUUGGCUCAUGGCUUCAUCCUGGCCCAACCCUGGCAUUGUGGUCAUCUGGGGAGUGAACCAGUGAAUGGAAGAUCUCUCUCUCCCUCUCUCUCCCUCCUUACCUCCCUUCCUCUCUGUAACUUUGACUUUCUAAUAAAUAAAUAGACCUUAAAAAAGUUGGGGGUAAG